RNAcentral lists this transfer RNA (63 nucleotides) under Mandarella flaviventris. Its description in RNAcentral is "tRNA-Asp". The record is from RNAcentral. Lineage: Eukaryota; Metazoa; Arthropoda; Insecta; Coleoptera; Chrysomelidae.
AAAAAUUUAGUUAAUUAAUAACCCUAACUUGUCAAGUUAAAGUAACCUUAAAGGUAAUUUUUA